AAGACUAUACUUUUAGGGAUCAUUUCCAUAGUUUGUUACUAGAAAAGUUUCCCUGACUGUGUAGAGCACCCGAAGCCAUGAGGACGAGAAACAGCAAACAGCAUCCCCUCCUGAGUGUGAAGCCGGCUCUAGGUGCUGCUUCUGCGUGGCUGCCUCUUGCCACUAACGAUCUCAUCCUUCACUCCUAUGGGAGGGUGAGAGGGAGGGAACGCAGUCUGAGUGGA
Rattus norvegicus (Norway rat) is the source of this 224-nucleotide small nucleolar RNA. Ensembl annotates it as small nucleolar RNA U3. NCBI's taxonomy places the organism in Eukaryota, Metazoa, Chordata, Mammalia, Rodentia, Muridae. The record is from Ensembl.